RNAcentral lists this microRNA precursor (103 nucleotides) under Marmota monax (woodchuck). The record is from RNAcentral. Lineage: Eukaryota; Metazoa; Chordata; Mammalia; Rodentia; Sciuridae.
AAUGGAAUUGCUAGAUUAUAUGGUAAAUCUACAUUUUGCUUUUUGAGGAACUGCCAAACUGUUUCCCAAAGUGGUUGUCCCAUUUUAUAGUCAUACCAACAAU